Non-coding RNA from Hordeum vulgare subsp. vulgare (domesticated barley), 139 nucleotides. Lineage: Eukaryota; Viridiplantae; Streptophyta; Magnoliopsida; Poales; Poaceae. The record is from Rfam.
CCGCUGGAUGAUGACGAGAUCAUCUCCUACAUCGUCGCGGGUCUGGACAUGGAGUACCAGCCGCUGGUGUCAGCUCUUGAUGCUCGCACCGAACCGGUCACGCUUGACGAUCUCUUUGCUCAAAUGAGUAAUUUUGAUC